Long non-coding RNA from Ictalurus punctatus (channel catfish), 576 nucleotides. The record is from Ensembl. NCBI's taxonomy places the organism in Eukaryota, Metazoa, Chordata, Actinopteri, Siluriformes, Ictaluridae.
CGUUCUUCCGCCUAUCCUUGAGACCUAUUAUCAACAAUGUCAGGUGACUGACCUUAGGGGUUGGCUAUUAUAGAACAUCCGGAACCAACCACUUCCUUUUGCCUUUCUCACCUCAUCUGAGGCCAAAGCGGUAGAGCUCAUCUCAGCUUAAUUACGGGAGACAGUGUAGUUCCAAUUCGUCACAUUUUCGUGAAGGUGCUUCACGUUCCUGAAGAUUGCGGUGGAUCUCUCCUCAUAUAUAUCUUGGAGUGUCGUUGGAACACACGUUGGGGUCUGGAUAUACCUGUAUGCUGAUGUAUAUGAGACAAUAAUAGAACUAAUACUGGAAAUCAAGAUCGUUUAUAAAUCUUCAGUUAACUUGUCCAGGUACCUCUGGAUGAACCCAUGGACCCGCAAGCUGAGGUCUCGCCCUUUACAACUCUCUCCUCUCCUCUAUCAUUUUUAAAAACAAAUCUCUUACUCUUUGUUUGUUUGUAUCGUUGGGGGGUCAUUAAAGGACUAAACAUUGGCCAGAUCACAAAGAGAGGGGUGGUUAAUAUGUUUCAGCGGCUCCAUUAGUCAAAGUGUGUGUGGGGG